RNAcentral lists this ribosomal RNA (338 nucleotides) under uncultured bacterium. RNAcentral describes it as "bacterial SSU rRNA". It matches the Rfam family "Bacterial small subunit ribosomal RNA", at positions 32 to 361 of the family's 1533-position model. The record is from RNAcentral.
AAUCAACGCUGGCGGCGUGCCUCAGACAUGCAAGUCGAACGAUUAAAGCUCUCUUCGGAGAGUGUAUAGAGUGGCGCACGGGUGAGUAACACGUAAGUAAUCUACCUUUGAGUGGGAAUAACAAUCGGAACGGUUAGCUAAUACCGCAUAAUGCAGCGGCAUCGCAAGAUGACAGUUGUUAAAGGAGCAAUCCGCUUAAAGAGGAGCUUGCGGCAGAUUAGCUAGUUGGUAAGGUAACGGCUUACCAAGGCUACGAUCUGUAUCCGGUCUAAGAGGACGGUCGGACACACUGACACUGAAUAACGGGUCAGACUCCUACGGGAGGCAGCAGUCGGGAA